RNAcentral lists this long non-coding RNA (568 nucleotides) under Equus caballus (horse). RNAcentral's name for it is "lncRNA (ENSECAG00000059227.1)". Lineage: Eukaryota; Metazoa; Chordata; Mammalia; Perissodactyla; Equidae. The record is from RNAcentral.
GUUUAGUAGCCUUGAAAAAUAUGCACAGGAUAUUUUAGCCCCGGAAGGGAAACUUUGCAUAUCUUAAAAGUCAAACAAAAGUACAAUUCUCGUAAAUGUCUGCCUGGAAGAGACUUCAAGACACCUGUGAGUGGAAGGAAAGUCAGCUUUAUUGAGGUAUAACUGGUGUAUACAAUUGACUUGAAGUUUCUUGACACCAUCUUCUCUUAUACCCCUGUGCCUGCUAUUCCUGCCUGACUCGAUUCGGAUGCUGUCCAUGUAGCCCAGGUUUCUUGGUCCUUCCUGUGCUGAUGGGAAAUAGCAGAGAGAAGAGAGUAAUGAUUUCUCAGGCUAAGUUACUGCAUUUUAGUCCCAGCCACCCUUUCUAUGAAGCAGCAUCAAUUACAAGAGACAUCAGCAUAACAUCAACAAGCAGCAAAAUUCCGUCCACCGUUACUGCUCUCUUUGAGAGUGCUUCGGAUUAAAAAAAAUGGAACAGUAGUAGUGAUAUUUUUGAGAUGAAUGGUCAACGUGCUUGCAGUCUAUCGAUCAAACUUCAUUUAACUUUAAAGAAGUUUGCUAGAAGUGU